UACGUAGGGGGCAAGCGUUAUCCGGAAUCAUUGGGCGUAAAGGGUGCGUAGGCUGCCCUAUAGGUCAGAGGUCAAAGGCUACGGCUCAACCGUAGUAAGCCUUUGAAACUGUAGGGCUUGAGUGCAGGAGAGGAGAGUGGAAUUCCUAGUGUAGCGGUGAAAUGCGUAGAUAUUAGGAGGAACACCAGUGGCGAAGGCGACUCUCUGGACUGCAACUGACGCUGAGGCACGAAAGCGUGGGGAGCGAACAGG
RNAcentral lists this ribosomal RNA (252 nucleotides) under uncultured bacterium. RNAcentral's name for it is "partial 16S ribosomal RNA". It matches the Rfam family "Bacterial small subunit ribosomal RNA", at positions 524 to 776 of the family's 1533-position model. The record is from RNAcentral.